AUGAGAAGCCCGUCUCUCCCCAUCAUGGUAUGCCCGUUUUGCAAUAACGGGAUGGUUCCAUGCUGGGUUUCUCGCACCAAAACCAAUCCAGGGAAGAACUUUGACAGUUGCGAGCAUGAGCGGUCUUGCAAAUGCAACUUCUGGAAAUGUGAAGAAAACUACAUCAAGGUUAUACGCGCUAAGUGGCCAAGGCUAUUCCCUGUUCCAUCUCGCGAAGACCGCAAAUUCCACCGCUGCAUCAUCGCUCUUCUGAUACUCAUUCUAUUUUCAGUGAUGUUCAUUUGCUGCAAAGUCGCUUGA
Molecule: ribosomal RNA, 300 nt
Filed under: Triticum aestivum (bread wheat)
Lineage: Eukaryota; Viridiplantae; Streptophyta; Magnoliopsida; Poales; Poaceae
Description: partial small subunit ribosomal RNA
Source: RNAcentral